RNAcentral lists this ribosomal RNA (253 nucleotides) under uncultured bacterium. Its description in RNAcentral is "partial 16S ribosomal RNA". It matches the Rfam family "Bacterial small subunit ribosomal RNA", at positions 524 to 776 of the family's 1533-position model. The record is from RNAcentral.
GACGGAGGGGGCAAGCGUUGUCCGGACUCACUGGGCGUAAAGCGCGUGUAGGCGGUCGCGUGCGUCGGUGCUGACAGCGCCCGGCUUAACCGGGCGAGGCGUGCCGAUACGAUGCGACUGGAGACAGGCAGAGGGGGGCGGAAUUCCGGGUGUAGCGGUGAAAUGCGUAGAGCUCCGGAGGAACGCCGGUGGGGGAGCCGGCCGCCUGGGCCUGACCUGACGCUGAGACGCGACAGCGUGGGGAGCAAACCGG